RNAcentral lists this unclassified non-coding RNA (191 nucleotides) under Schizosaccharomyces pombe (fission yeast). The record is from RNAcentral. Lineage: Eukaryota; Fungi; Ascomycota; Schizosaccharomycetes; Schizosaccharomycetales; Schizosaccharomycetaceae.
UUAUGACUUAUUAUAUAAUAAACGUCUCUUGGUCCAAUCUGUAAAAUACAGCUUUUGAAAGGCCAAGUACGACAGAGCAUACCAUGUCGUAGCAUUUCAAAAGCUGUAUUUUACAGAUUGGACCAAGAGACGUUUCUUUUAUGACUUAUUAUAUAAUCUAUAGCUAGGGUAAAUGAAGUCUAUUUAAAGUA